UACGAAGGGGGCUAGCGUUGCUCGGAAUUACUGGGCGUAAAGCGCACGUAGGCGGCUCUUUAAGUCGGGGGUGAAAUCCUGGAGCUCAACUCCAGAACUGCCUUCGAUACUGAAGAGCUCGAGUCCGGGAGGGGUGAGUGGAACUGCGAGUGUAGAGGUGAAAUUCGUAGAUAUUCGCAAGAACACCAGUGGCGAAGGCGGCUCACUGGCCCGGUACUGACGCUGAGGUGCGAAAGCGUGGGGAGCAAACAGG
RNAcentral lists this ribosomal RNA (253 nucleotides) under uncultured bacterium. RNAcentral's name for it is "partial 16S ribosomal RNA". It matches the Rfam family "Bacterial small subunit ribosomal RNA", at positions 524 to 776 of the family's 1533-position model. The record is from RNAcentral.